AUGUCCACACAGGGCCGGAGGAAUCCCAUCCCAAACAAGUGCUAUGAACUCACUGGGAUCAGCAGGUGGUGUGUGUUCAGCUGCUCGGAGCAACAUUCGGCCUGCCUAUUCCCAGCGAGGGCAGCUGACAUCAGAGAGGCAAUGCCCCGUGAAUGUGCCAUUCAGCGGACAGGAGGGCCCGCAGUCUGCACGUUAGACAUGAAAGUGUUUGUAACAUGCAGAUGUUUUCCAUGCAGAGGCCGAGCAAAGUGAUGGACGAGCUCGUGUAAAUCUUGUGCUGUUGCGUGUUUGUUGUUUUAGUUGUUGUUGUUUAAAUUUCUCCCUCACAUGCCCCCAUUUCCUUGCCUUGUGUGGAAGAAUGAUAGCAUUAAAAAUAAUGGGUUAUAUCCGUAGCUGAUAUAAUUUGGUGUGACUCCAGUGACUUCACAGAGCUAUGCCUGUUUACACAAGCUGCAAGUUUCUCCCAUCAAUUUAAAGCUGUACAGAUUUACAUCACGGGGAACACGGCUGUUUGUUUUUUCCCUCGCUUGAUUAAAGGGUCCUCCCACGGCCACGUGAGCCAGAGCAGAGCUGAGGUGCUGAGCAGGAGAGGCCCACGGCUGCACCCACCGCCGGCUCUCCCUGUGGGCACGUAGCUCCGUGCCCUCCCCACCUCCCUGAGUCCCAACACAUCCCAAAUGUCCCUGAGCCCUGUGGAGGACGGGGCCCUCUUCACCACCAGGGCUGGGGGUAAAAACUCCUGCUGUGGUUGAUAGGGGGCAGCGACCUGGAUGCACAGGUCCCUCUGCCCAGGUGAUUUCCUUAACCACCAAGCUAAUGGCUAUUUUUAAAAAGUUCUCCUUCCCUUUCAUUUUCAUUUCAUGAAACAUUUCAAGACGCCUUGCUUUCAUCUUCCUAUGGAGUAAAAACACAUUUCGAAACCUGACCAUUUUCUACUAAAUGAAAUUCUUGUGUUCCCACUUGCCCUAACCAGAAGCCCUGUACCACCACGUCCGCAAAAUAUGCUGCAUUGUGCUAUGAUCUUGUGCCGUUCUGCAGAGAAACAUGACUAGGUUUCACGUGGCAUUACAACCAGAGCUCACUCAAAACUCCCCUCCUGGAAGCAAGCACCCAUCCAUGCACACAAAGCAUGAAGCCAGACACUUCCCUUUCGGAAACAGUUUGCUGAGCAGGCUGGAGAGCUUAAAUGCUGCUGAAAACAACAACAACACUGCUGGACAACGAGCUGACCCAGCCUGAUUUGGGGAUACACUGAAUAAUCCAAAAGAGCAGGUGACUUAAAUACCAAAUUCCUUGCCACAUUUACUGAUUUAAUGUGACCACUAAAGUUCUCCAGGCUUUUUGGAAGCCCUAGUUGUGAUUGCAGGAACCAGUAUGUCCAAGACAAUUCCACAGGUUGAGCGCUGUCAUUAAAAGCGUGACCUGUUCCUGCUUGAGGCAAACGAUGGAGUCCCUGCGGGAGUGGGAGUGAAUGAACUGCCUGUCCCAUCCACCACAGCAGGAGCUCUCCCCUACGAAGCACGACCACUGGAGGUCUCUGAGGCCAUGGUAAAAGUCUCACAUGUUUUCCAAUUAAAUCUGAGCUUCAUACUGCCUAGUGACCUGCAAGACAUGUUUGGAGUACAUUUGCUGGAUGAAUUGAGAGAGCACCCAAGACGACGAGGGAGGAUUCCAAUAUAAGGACAAACCUUUUCACCAGGAAAAGUGGUCAAACACCGAGACAGAGGUCCAGAAAGAUUGUCUCCACCUUGGAGAUCUUCUAAACAUGAUGGGACAAGGCCCUCAGCUACCUGCUCUGAGCAGGAAGCCCUGCUGCUAGAUGAUCUCCAGAGGUGCCUUCCACCCUAA
Molecule: long non-coding RNA, 1848 nt
Filed under: Cairina moschata (Muscovy duck)
Lineage: Eukaryota; Metazoa; Chordata; Aves; Anseriformes; Anatidae
Description: domestica (muscovy Duck (domestic type)) lncRNA (ENSCMMG00000008687.1)
Source: RNAcentral